Molecule: ribosomal RNA, 501 nt
Filed under: uncultured bacterium
Lineage: Bacteria
Description: partial 16S ribosomal RNA
Rfam family: Bacterial small subunit ribosomal RNA
Source: RNAcentral
AUUGAACGCUGGCGGCAUGCCUUACACAUGCAAGUCGAACGGCAGCACGGGUGCUUGCACCUGGUGGCGAGUGGCGAACGGGUGAGUAAUAUAUCGGAACGUACCUUAUUGUGGGGGAUAACGCAGCGAAAGCUGUGCUAAUACCGCAUAAUCCCUAAGGGGGAAAGCGGGGGACCGUAAGGCCUCGCGCAAUUAGAGCGGCCGAUACCUGAUUAGCUAGUUGGUGAGGUAAAGGCUCACCAAGGCAACGAUCAGUAGCUGGUCUGAGAGGACGAUCAGCCACACUGGGACUGAGACACGGCCCAGACUCCUACGGGAGGCAGCAGUGGGGAAUUUUGGACAAUGGGGGCAACCCUGAUCCAGCAAUGCCGCGUGAGUGAAGAAGGCCUUCAGGUUGUAAAGCUCUUUUGUCAGGGAAGAAACAGCAGCUCUAACACAGUAUGCGAAUGACGGAACCUGAAGAAUAAGCACCGGCUAACUACGUGCCAGCAGCCGCCGUAA